AAGAUUAUGACAAUAAUUGAAGCGACAUUAGAAAAAUAAAAUUCCAGACAAAUUAUCUUUUUGAAGACUAGGCAGCAUGGUCUCCGACCUUAGCCUGUUCCAAACGGAACAAACGUACUAAAAAAAAAAAAAAAAAAAAAAAAAUGUAAUUGUUUAAGGGUUCAUUGACAUCAUACUCGAAAUCCAAAAGUAAUCGAUUAACAGUUUCAGAAUAAAGAUCCCAAUUAACGAGACAUGCUGCAACGCUCAGAAUUCUUACAGAAUUUAGCUAAAUGUCCAUACCUCAAGCACCGGUAGCAUUGUUUAACUGGUGGUAUAUAUGGAGUGACAUUGUGGCGCCAAUCUCCAAUAUCCAGAUAUUCAGGUAAUACAGAUGCAGCAAAAGUAAUUGUCACGGUUAGAGUUGGCUGUAACACAUAUCCAUGAGUCAAGAUUCUGAGUCAGUAGAAGUAUCUUCCGAAUAUAUAUCCUUGUCAUUACAAGGUUCAUGGUCUACAUCACCUGAAUCGUCAUCUUUUUUUUUCCUUUUCCUACAACUGCGCUUCCCCAUGAAUGCUAAUUAUAUUACUGUCACUGAAUUUAGUGAAAAUAUAAUAUUUUAUUCAAUAAUAAGAAUUGAUAGAGAUAGUUUUUAUAAAUUAAUAAAAAAAAUUUAAAAAACCCGCUUGUUCUUAUUCGAGUUUCCCGCCUUUUUUUUCCAUAGUAAAACUGUCA
Molecule: long non-coding RNA, 714 nt
Organism: Galleria mellonella (greater wax moth)
Lineage: Eukaryota; Metazoa; Arthropoda; Insecta; Lepidoptera; Pyralidae
Exons: 3
Source: RefSeq, a predicted model, not a curated record